UGGAGAGUUUGAUCCUGGCUCAGGAUGAACGCUGGCGGCGUGCUUAACACAUGCAAGUCGAACGAUGAAGCCCAGCUUGCUGGGUGGAUUAGUGGCGAACGGGUGAGUAACACGUGAGUAACCUGCCCUUAACUCUGGGAUAAGCCUGGGAAACURGGUCUAAUACCGGAUAGGAGCGYCYACCGCAUGGUGGGUGUUGGAAAGAUUUAUCGGUUUUGGAUGGACUCGCGGCCUAUCAGCUUGUUGGUGAGGUAAUGGCUCACCAAGGCGACGACGGGUAGCCGGCCUGAGAGGGUGACCGGCCACACUGGGACUGAGACACGGCCCAGACUCCUACGGGAGGCAGCAGUGGGGAAUAUUGCACAAUGGGCGMAAGCCUGAUGCAGCGACGCCGCGUGAGGGAUGACGGCCUUCGGGUUGUAAACCUCUUUCAGUAGGGAAGAAGCGAAAGUGACGGUACCUGCAGAAGAAGCACCGGCUAACUACGUGCCAGCAGCCGCGGUA
RNAcentral lists this ribosomal RNA (504 nucleotides) under Micrococcus sp. NRL-CB8. Its description in RNAcentral is "bacterial SSU rRNA". It matches the Rfam family "Bacterial small subunit ribosomal RNA", at positions 1 to 522 of the family's 1533-position model. Lineage: Bacteria; Bacillati; Actinomycetota; Actinomycetes; Micrococcales; Micrococcaceae. The record is from RNAcentral.